GACUAACGCUGGCGGCGUGCCUAAUACAUGCAAGUCGAACGGGAUUCUUUGAUCAGCUUGCUGAGAGAAGGAUCUAGUGGCGGACGGGUGAGUAACGCGUGGGAAUCUGCCUCUUACUGGGGGAUAACAGUGGGAAACUACUGCUAAUACCGCAUAAGAUCUUCGGAUGAAAGGUGCAACUGCACCGGUAAGAGAUGAGCCCGCGUCCCAUUAGCUAGUUGGUGAGGUAAAGGCUCACCAAGGCGACGAUGGGUAGCCGGCCUGAGAGGGUGAACGGCCACACUGGGACUGAGACACGGCCCAGACUCCUACGGGAGGCAGCAGUAGGGAAUCUUCCGCAAUGGGCGCAAGCCUGACGGAGCGACGCCGCGUGAGUGAUGAAGGCCUUCGGGUCGUAAAGCUCUGUUCUUGAGGACGAAUAAGCCAGGGAGUGGAAAGCCCGUGGUGAUGACUGUACUCAAGGAGAAAGCUCCGGCUAACUACGUGCC
RNAcentral lists this ribosomal RNA (488 nucleotides) under uncultured bacterium. RNAcentral describes it as "bacterial SSU rRNA". It matches the Rfam family "Bacterial small subunit ribosomal RNA", at positions 28 to 509 of the family's 1533-position model. The record is from RNAcentral.